CAGCGGUGGGCUCCGCCCCGCGUGCGAGUGCGGGGCAGCGUGGCCUUCUUAACACCCUGCCCGCGCCCACGAGGAAGAAGACAUGACUAAUUCCCAGAAUUAAGAACCAUCUUCAGAAAGUAACACAUGGAACGAUUUUCAAACUGACUUUAAUCAUGUUUUGCUGCCCAAAUACUGUACAUGCAGAAGCCACGUGAAGAAUUUCCUCCUCAAGGAUAUUGGCAA
Rhinolophus ferrumequinum (greater horseshoe bat) is the source of this 225-nucleotide long non-coding RNA. RefSeq lists it as uncharacterized. The record is from RefSeq and is a predicted model, not a curated record. The transcript has 3 exons. Lineage: Eukaryota; Metazoa; Chordata; Mammalia; Chiroptera; Rhinolophidae.